GAUGAACGCUGGCGGCGUGCCUAAUACAUGCAAGUCGAGCGAACGGACGAGAAGCUUUCUUCUCUGAUGUUAGCGGCGGACGGGUGAGUAACACGUGGAUAACCUACCUAUAAGACUGGGAUAACUUCGGGAAACCGGAGCUAAUACCUGAUAAUAUUUUGAACCGCAUGGUUCAAAAGUGAAAGACGGUCUUGCUGUCACUUAUAGAUGGAUCCGCGCUGCAUUAGCUAGUUGGUAAGGUAACGGCUUACCAAGGCAACGAUGCAUAGCCGACCUGAGAGGGUGAGCGGCCACCCUGGAACUGAAACACGGUCCCGACUCCUACGGGAGGCAGCAGUGGGGAAUCUUACGCUAUGGGCGAAAGCCUGGCGGAGCAAAGCCGCGUGAGUGAUGAAGGUCUUGGGAUCGUAAAUCUCUGUUAUUAGGGAAGAACAUAUGUGUAAGUAACUGUGGACAUCUUGACGGUACCUAAUCAGAAAGCCACGGCUAACUACGUG
This 497-nucleotide ribosomal RNA is filed under the name uncultured bacterium. Its description in RNAcentral is "partial 16S ribosomal RNA". It matches the Rfam family "Bacterial small subunit ribosomal RNA", at positions 28 to 507 of the family's 1533-position model. The record is from RNAcentral.